RNAcentral lists this ribosomal RNA (301 nucleotides) under uncultured bacterium. RNAcentral's name for it is "partial 16S ribosomal RNA". It matches the Rfam family "Bacterial small subunit ribosomal RNA", at positions 509 to 807 of the family's 1533-position model. The record is from RNAcentral.
CAGCCGCCGCGGUAAUACGUAGGGGGCAAGCGUUAUCCGGAUUUACUGGGCGUAAAGAGUGUGUAGGCGGUGCUAUAAGUUCGGUGUGAAAUCUCCCGGCUCAACUGGGAGGGUGCGCCGAAAACUGUAGUGCUCGAACGUGGGAGAGGAAAGCGGAAUUCCUGGUGUAGCGGUGAAAUGCGUAGAUAUCAGGAGGAACACCUGCGGUGUAGACGGCUUUCUGGACCAUUGUUGACGCUGAGACACGAAAGCGUGGGUAGCAAACAGGAUUAGAUACCCCUGUAGUCCCUGUCUCUUAUAC